Molecule: ribosomal RNA, 447 nt
Filed under: uncultured bacterium
Lineage: Bacteria
Description: bacterial SSU rRNA
Rfam family: Bacterial small subunit ribosomal RNA
Source: RNAcentral
UGGGGAAUUUUGGACAAUGGGCGAAAGCCUGACCCAGCAACGCCGCGUGAAGGAUGAAGUAUUUCGGUAUGUAAACUUCGAAAGAAUAGGAAGAAUAAAUGACGGUACUAUUUAUAAGGUCCGGCUAACUACGUGCCAGCAGCCGCGGUAAUACGUAGGGACCAAGCGUUGUUCGGAUUUACUGGGCGUAAAGGGCGCGUAGGCGGCAUGACAAGUCACUUGUGAAAUCUCUGGGCUUAACCCAGAACGGCCAAGUGAUACUGUCGCGCUAGAGUGCAGAAGGGGCAAUCGGAAUUCUUGGUGUAGCGGUGAAAUGCGUAGAUAUCAAGAGGAACACCUGAGGUGAAGACGGGUUGCUGGGCUGACACUGACGCUGAGGCGCGAAAGCCAGGGGAGCAAACGGGAUUAGAUACCCCAGUAGUCCCUGAGCGGGCUGGCAAGGCGCAU